RNAcentral lists this microRNA (24 nucleotides) under Oryza sativa (Asian cultivated rice). RNAcentral's name for it is "osa-miR440". Its record names the gene osa-miR440. Lineage: Eukaryota; Viridiplantae; Streptophyta; Magnoliopsida; Poales; Poaceae. The record is from miRBase by way of RNAcentral. RNAcentral also lists the same sequence under 1 other name.
AGUGUCUCCUGAUGAUCGGGACAA